GAGGCAGCCACCAUCCUCCCUCUUUAUAAGGAGCUUGGCCGGCCACACCUCCUCUCCUUUGCCUCAUUUCUUUUCACUCCCUACUAUUUCCUCCACUCCCUCACACUCUCCUCCUCCACUUCCCCACGAAAAUGGUGCUCCCCUUGCUCCCAUGGCCGGCCAUGGCCAUGGCAAGCCACCAAGAUGAAGCUCUCCCUCUCCCUCAAGCUCCUCCUCACCAUGAGAGCCUCCCUCUCCUUCUUCUCCCCAACCCUAGAUGGUUUUCUCUCCUCUUCUUCUUCCUCCCUUGCUAAGAUUGGAUCUUGAUGCAGGUGCAUGUUGGUCCAAGCAUGGAGAAGCUUGAGCUAUCCUCAGAUCUGAAGUUCUUGAGCAAAAUCCAAAUCGAGUGAUUCAAAGUUCCGCAGAUAGACAUUGAAAAGAUCUACAACUUGGCGUUGGUAUCAUCCUCAAAUUCGUUACGGAUUUUGCAAGAUCAAGAUCUGGUCAGAUCUGACUUUGUCGAAUUAAACCUGGAGCUUGGAAACGAAUUUUUGAAUGAAACCAACUGGGGGAUAUUUGGUUGAUACCCUGGUGAUAAACGAGAGAGGCAAUUGCUAAGUUAUGAUACUCUCAUACCUUUACUAGAUGCGAACGAUUCCGGAGAAGAAGAAGAAGAAGUGGUUCGGACAAGGAUUUUAUUUAUAUUGACGGGAUUCUUAUAUUGAUGAAGUUGAAGAAGUCCAGGGACAAAUAAGCCAAGGCAAGCCAUCUUUUGAUCUCUGAUAUGAUGUCUCUUUGGAUGUCAUCUUGUGCUAUCAAUAGCAUCUUGGUUCUAUGUGUGAUGAUCUCCAUAUUGUUGUCAUCUAUGCUUGGAUGCAAGCAUGGUACCUCUAGUAGUUUUAUCUUGUCAAGGUCUUGGUAAUUGGUUGGGUGUAUGGUAUCAUGGCCAUUGCUAUCCAACUUGCUUUCUAUAUUUAGCUUGAAUAUGUUCCACCUCGGGACAAGAUUCAUACUACACCCCCUUCUAGUGUAGAUGUAUCAAUACCAUGUUUUUGGUGUAUUCUCAAAUUGUGAUGAGUAUGCCUGUUUUCCCUUAAUGGUGUUGGUGUUGGUCAAUUCUCAUCCCUAUCUAUCUAUUGAUGGGGUUAGAUAGCACCACAAAUCUGAAAGUAUAUUUCCUCUUGUGUUGUCAUAAUACAUGCUUAGCUCAAGCAAGUAUGAUCCACUCCAAUGCCUCUUUUUCAUACCCUCAAUGGCGUGAUGACCCUCAUCUCGGCCAUAGUGUUGUAUUAGUUCAACUCAUGAAACUUUAGAUUGGGAACCCCUCAAGGUUUACCUUGUUGUAAAUGUUUAUGAAAACCUUGGGUGAGGCAAUCUUACCCAAGCAUAUGGUUUAUGAAUGGAAAGGAUCUUGACAAAGAUGGUUGGAAAGAGGAAGGUGUGUGUGACUUGGGUUUUUGAGAAAAACGACACAUGGUUCUUUGUAUUCGCCCGGAACAACUAAACAGCGCAACCAUAGCUACUCCAACGUGGGCACGGGGCUUAACUUGACGUUUGUUCUUCUUAGCAUGAGGCACCGCACAACUAUACAAGGGUACGGUUACCCCCGAGUCCGGGUUGUCAUGGUUGGGACAAUAGUAUAACGGGAGGCCUUCGGGGCUGACCCGUCCGGAAGACACUAUGAGUCUCCUGGCUUGGCGGUGGAGCCACGCUCAAGAGGAGGUGAGCUGCCACGGUGCCGGGGAGGUACAUACUCCAUAGGGUAGGACCUCGUGUUAAGUCGAAUGGGCGAAAGGUUAUGUCCGGGUAUCCGUCGUGGCAUAUGUCGUUAUGCGGGGAUGAUGCCCACACGAUAGGUAUCCGGAUAGUUGUGGUGAAAGUGUGCAAACUCUGCAGAGUCAAAACUAUUCGAAUAGCCGCGUCCGCGGUCAUGGACGGUUGGGAUGGCCGUUACAGAGCUGUGUCGAGUUUUGGUUUUGAAAAUGAUUUCCAAAGGAAAUGUGUGUUGGAAGUACCGGAAGGGUACGGGAAAGAUGGUGUGCCGACCAUGUGGAGAUGGUCGAGGAAAAUGAAACAAAAGAGGGUGACCCUUCCUAGUGUUUCAUGUAGAGGAACUCUGCUUUAACAAAGAUAUAGAGAUG
This is a non-coding RNA of Lolium perenne, 2120 nucleotides long. Lineage: Eukaryota; Viridiplantae; Streptophyta; Magnoliopsida; Poales; Poaceae. The record is from RefSeq and is a predicted model, not a curated record.